Molecule: ribosomal RNA, 464 nt
Filed under: uncultured bacterium
Lineage: Bacteria
Description: partial 16S ribosomal RNA
Rfam family: Bacterial small subunit ribosomal RNA
Source: RNAcentral
GACGAACGCUGGCGGCGUGCUUAACACAUGCAAGUCGAACGGAAAGGCCCUGCUUGCAGGGUACUCGAGUUGCGAACGGGUGAGUAACACGCGGGUGGUCUGCCCUGCACUUCGGGUUAAGCCUGGUAAACUGGGUCUAAUACCGGCUAGGUGCCAUUUUUAGUGUGAUGGUUGGAAAGUUUUUUCGGUGUUGGAUGUGCCUGCGGCCUAUCAGCUUGUUGGUGGGGUAAUGGCCUACCAAGGCGGCGACGGGUAGCCGGCCUGAGAGGGUGGACGGCCACAUUGGGACUGAGAGACGGCCCAGACGGCUACGGGAGGCAGCAGUGGGGAAUAUUGCAGAGUGGGCGCAAGUCUGAUGCAGCGACGCCGCGUGGGGGAUGACGGCCUUCGGGUUGUAAACACCUUUCGCUAGGGACGAAGAUUUUGUGACGGUACCUAGAUAAGAAGCACCGGCUAACUACGUG